RNAcentral lists this ribosomal RNA (427 nucleotides) under uncultured bacterium. RNAcentral describes it as "bacterial SSU rRNA". It matches the Rfam family "Bacterial small subunit ribosomal RNA", at positions 355 to 774 of the family's 1533-position model. The record is from RNAcentral.
UGGGGAAUUUUGGACAAUGGACGCAAGCCUGAUCCAGCCAUGCCGCGUGCGGGAAGAAGGCCUUCGGGUUGUAAACCGCUUUUGUAAGGGACGAAACGGUUUUCCCUAAUACAGGGACUUAAUGACGGUACCGGAAGAAUAAGCACCGGCUAACUACGUGCCAGCAGCCGCGGUAAUACGUAGGGUGCAAGCGUUAAUCGGAAUUACUGGGCGUAAAGCGUGCGCAGGCGGUUAUGCAAGACAGAGGUGAAAUCCCCGGGCUCAACCUGGGAACUGCCUGUGGGACUGCAUAGCUAGAGUACGGUAGAGGGGGAUGGAAUUCCGCGUGUAGCAGUGAAAUGCGUAGAUAUGCGGAGGAACACCGAUGGCGAAGGCAAUCCCCUGGACCUGUACUGACGCUCAUGCACGAAAGCGUGGGGAGCAAACA